UACGGGGGGAGCAAGCGUUGUUCGGAUUUACUGGGCGUAAAGGGCGCGUAGGCGGUCAGCACAAGUCAGUUGUGAAAUCUCCGGGCUUAACUCGGAAAGGUCAACUGAUACUGUGCGACUAGAGUGCGGAAGGGGCAGCUGGAAUUCUCGGUGUAGCGGUGAAAUGCGUAGAUAUCGAGAGGAACACCUGCGGCGAAGGCGGGUUGCUGGGCCGACACUGACGCUGAUGCGCGAAAGCCAGGGGAGCGAACGGG
RNAcentral lists this ribosomal RNA (254 nucleotides) under uncultured bacterium. RNAcentral's name for it is "partial 16S ribosomal RNA". It matches the Rfam family "Bacterial small subunit ribosomal RNA", at positions 524 to 776 of the family's 1533-position model. The record is from RNAcentral.